Molecule: unclassified non-coding RNA, 919 nt
Filed under: Dermacentor andersoni
Lineage: Eukaryota; Metazoa; Arthropoda; Arachnida; Ixodida; Ixodidae
Description: uncharacterized LOC126540566
Source: RNAcentral
AUCAUCAUCAUCCAGCGCGUUGCCACGCGAACGUGCUCGAACAAGAGGGGCUCGAGCAGGGCAUGAGCUCAAAUCACGUUUCCACGCGCAGUCGUUCGGACGGCGCUUUCUCGUUAUGGACGACAGCAGAGGCAACGUGGCUUUCCCGAGACCGUCUUCCCAGGCCUCGACCAUCUUGCCAGCAGGCACCGUCAACGGUGGUGUGCUGGCUUUCGUGGUUCUCGUUGGCAAGCUCCACCAAGGCGACGCCGCGACUUGGCUCAUGGCGGACCCGAUCCUUUACUGCUCUCGGCUGUCUCGCCGUUUUUUCCCUAUACCUGAGAUGCAAGGUCGUGGAUCAGAAGCAGCCGUCGUUCACCAGAGUUUCAUCGGCGACAGUUCACGAUCGCCGUGAAACUGCAGCCGAGCAACACAUCAGCCCUUGGCACACCAGCGAGACAUCGAGAGAUGCCAUCUGCCUAGAGGAGCUGACUCGGCCACCGGGUGUUCCAUGGCUGUGUUCGCGCAUGCGCCCGACGUCUCCUUUACCGCGGAGGGCCACGCAGAGAAGCCACCGAGUCCAGCCAAGGUACAAGGGCGAGGCCAGCCGGUCGUCGGCCACGAAAGCCACAGUGGAGAGCGCACAGGCUUCAGUGGCCACGGGGCUCCACGCCGUGAAUUCGACCAUGCAUCAGGAGUGCUUAGGCCACGCUGUCAUCAGUCCCUGCCUUGCCGCGAGAUUGUGUGUUUAAAGGGACGAACUGUAGGACGCAGUUCUUCACAUCCUUGCUUUGUUGGCGGCAUAUUCAUGCGUGACUUGUGCGUUUAUCUCCUGAACCGACCAUAUCUCGCGCCAAUUUUUGAUUGUAGUAUAUUUAUGCACGCAUAUUCAUUUCGCCGGGUACUUAUUUCUUGAUUUAUGCGUAAAUUUUUUCGUUGA